This is a non-coding RNA of Elaeis guineensis (African oil palm), 119 nucleotides long. NCBI's taxonomy places the organism in Eukaryota, Viridiplantae, Streptophyta, Magnoliopsida, Arecales, Arecaceae. The record is from RefSeq and is a predicted model, not a curated record.
GGUUCCGAUCAUACUAGCACUAAUACAUCAGAUCCCAUCUGAACUCCGUAGUUAAGCGUGUUUAGGCGAGAGUAGUACUAGAAUGGGUGACCGCUUGGAAAGUCCUCGUGUUGCAUCCU